This 94-nucleotide microRNA precursor is filed under the name Olea europaea subsp. europaea. RNAcentral's name for it is "MIR396 microRNA precursor family". It matches the Rfam family "MIR396 microRNA precursor family". The record is from Rfam by way of RNAcentral. Lineage: Eukaryota; Viridiplantae; Streptophyta; Magnoliopsida; Lamiales; Oleaceae.
UUCCAUGCUUUUCCACAGCUUUCUUGAACUUCUACUGAUGUUUUUCAUUUCAAAAACAUAAGAGGUUCAAGAAAGCUGUGGGAGAACAUAGAAA